Long non-coding RNA from Clupea harengus (Atlantic herring), 954 nucleotides. The record is from Ensembl. NCBI's taxonomy places the organism in Eukaryota, Metazoa, Chordata, Actinopteri, Clupeiformes, Clupeidae.
GGAAACCAGAGCAGUGUGCUCCUCAAAUGCGACUGUCUCCACUGAUGUUCCCAGGACACCAAAGGAGCAAACAGAGUGUGGAAGGAAACAGCAGACCAAGAUGAUGGCAACCAUUCAAGCAGAGCCAUAGAAUGCCACACCAAUGAAUACUCCUCAACCAUCACAGAGGAUUUUGUUUUGGGAUCUGCUAUGGGUGAGUGAUUUUCUUUGUUAAAAAGUCUUGGUAGUAACCAUUUUAAAAAUCUUCCAGGGCUGGAUCAGUAAUGGCAGUAUGGAAUAGCUGAGAUUCAUAUGCUUGUGAUGAAUGGAUAGUUAUUAGUAGAGCAAAAAACUCUCUAAAGCCCACAAAUAUAAUUGUGUCUUUUGAUCACCAGGCAAAGACAAGAUACCCAAGAAGAAGGGCAGAGUUGGCCGUUUCUAUCAUCACAUAUUCAAGGGGGUUAGACGCAGCUUCACAAGCUGCACUUCAUCCAGAGCAGUAAUGGAUUAGUUUCUUUUAUUCUAUUUUUAUUUGUUUUAUUUUUAUUUUGUUUCAUUAUUUUUUACUUAACCUUACUGAAAGGAAACUCAAAAGGUCCACAAGAUUUACAUUUAAUUUACAUUAAUGCCACGACCUCCAGUGCAUUGUCCAUGCACAAACAUAACAAACCUGUUUUAUUUGAGAAGUGGUCUUCAAUUAAGUUCUGCUCACCAGCCAGCUCAAACAAACUUUUAAUGAUUUAAACCACUGCCCCAUUCAAUGUUCAAAUAUAUAAGAAUUUCCAUGAUAUAAAUAAGCUUCUUAUAUUGUCAUAUAAAUUAUGAAUUGAAAUUUAAAAAGCAGUUUUGGGUGAGCUCCCUGCAGUCAUUUGCAGGUUUGAGCUCCUCAUCUCUUUACCUGGAAAUAUACCAAGCAAAUGCAAGGACUACUUUGGUACAAACUGGACUAAAUGACCUCUUAGCAUUUCAUUUUGG